CCAGAUAAUGUAAAAGUCAGCACUGAGCAUAUUACUGAUGAGGAAACAAGGUCACAAGUGCAGUCGAUCGUACAGGCCGAGAAUGAUCUACAGCUGCAAGAUGCAGUUGCACAGGCAGCCAGCUUGAUCAGUCUUGCUGGUCACAAUGUUUGCAUAACACUUCAAAACAAACAAGAAACUGCUUUGGAUCUGGCUCACUGGUAUGUCCUUCAACGGACCCGUGCACCUUUUGAAAGGUUCAGAGAUGGCUUGAGGUCUCUAGGUGUCCUAGAUGCUCU
Molecule: long non-coding RNA, 278 nt
Organism: Oreochromis aureus
Lineage: Eukaryota; Metazoa; Chordata; Actinopteri; Cichliformes; Cichlidae
Exons: 3
Source: RefSeq, a predicted model, not a curated record